This 107-nucleotide small nuclear RNA is filed under the name Erinaceus europaeus (western European hedgehog). Lineage: Eukaryota; Metazoa; Chordata; Mammalia; Eulipotyphla; Erinaceidae. The record is from RNAcentral.
AUGUUUUCUUUGGCAGCACAUAUACUAACACUGAAACAAUACAGAGAAGAUAUUAUGGUCUCUGUGUUAGGCUGGCAUGUAAUAGUUUAGAAACCCACUAGUGGGAA